This 306-nucleotide non-coding RNA is filed under the name uncultured Candidatus Pelagibacter sp. Lineage: Bacteria; Pseudomonadati; Pseudomonadota; Alphaproteobacteria; Candidatus Pelagibacterales; Candidatus Pelagibacteraceae. The record is from RNAcentral.
UAAUAGCACCUCUAUUUUUUAAAGGGAUUAUUGAUUGUACAGAACCUUUUCCAUAACUAUUUUCUCCAAGUAUAAUAGCUCUUUUAUGAUCUUUUAAUGCACCAGCUACUAUUUCUGAUGCCGAUGCUGAUCCAUAGUUAAUAAGUAUAAUUAGUGUUUUACCAUUUGUUAGAUCACCUUUUUUAGCAAACCAUUUUCGAUUUUCUGAAGCUUGUCGACUUCUUGUUGAUACAAUCUCACCAUUUUCUAAAAAAAAGUCUGAAAUUUUAAUUGCCUGAGAAAGUAAGCCACCAGGGUUAUUUCUUA